This 178-nucleotide unclassified non-coding RNA is filed under the name Aulosira laxa NIES-50. Its description in RNAcentral is "ribosomal RNA leader region". The record is from RNAcentral. Lineage: Bacteria; Bacillati; Cyanobacteriota; Cyanophyceae; Nostocales; Fortieaceae.
GGAUAUAUUGGAUAAGUGCCUGAGAGCGGAGCGCGAAAAGCGGCGCUGGUAGGGACACCGAACCUUGAAAAUCAUAUAGUUUGAAAGCCAGUAUAUAACAUAUACCCUGCGUCAGUAAAGAGAAUUACCAGACUGAGGUAUAAAUCAGUCGAAUAAGAGCUAAACGAACUUUAUCUAC